GCUGUCUCCUGCCGGCGACGGUGGUUGGCAGAGAGGAGUCAGGUUUGGGACGAGAUACAUGUUAAGAUCACGCAAGGACGUGCCCUUCAGACUUUUUAAAAAAUUAUUUUAUUUAUUUGAAAGAGUUCCAGAGAGGUAGAGCCAGAGAGAGAGGGAGAGAGGUCUUCCAUCCGAUGGUUCACUUCCCAAAUGACCACAACGGGCAGGGCUGCGCGGAUCAGAAGUCAGGAGCCAGGAGUUUCUUCCCGGUCUCCCACGCAGGUGCAGGGGCCCAAGGACUUGGGCCGUCUUCCUCUGCUUUCCCAGGCCAUAGCAGAGAGCUGGAUCAGAAGAGGAGCAGGCGGGACUCGAACCGGCGCCCAUAUGGGAUGCCGGCGCCGCAGGCUGGGGCUUUAACCCACUGCCCCACAGCGCGGUCCCCCAGAUUUUGUUUUUAAUCCAGCCUGGGUCCCGCAGCUUGUGUUCAACUUGGCAGAAAUGUAUUUUUAAGAAUUUUUAUUUACCUUAUUUGAGAGGCAGAGGAAGAGAUCUUCCAUCCAUUGCUUCUUUUCCCAAGAAGCAGGGGUCCUAGAACUCUAUCUGAGUCGCCCACGUACUAGUGAGCCAUCACUGCUGCCCCCGAGGGUGUGCACGAGCAGGGAGCUGGGACUCGAACCCGGGCGUUCCAGUAUGGGAUAUGGGCGCACCAUGUAGCUUAACUGCAAAACCAAAUGUCCACCCUACACAAAUGAUGGAACUAGAGAAACUGGUGCUCUUUCAAUUUGUAUAAAUGUCAGAAACUGGAUUGUGGAAGGAAAAGGGGGCUGAACAGAGAGGAGACUCACGUCCAAAAUAAAUUUAUUCAAGAAGAAAAAGAAAUUGGCAGAGGUGGCUAACUGCUGCUGUGCACACCGAGUGAACACGUGGAAGAAAGCACCCACGUGGAAACCCGGAGGAAGCUCCUAGUUCCUGGCUUCAGAUGGUCCCAGCUCGGACCAUCGCAGCCAUUUGGGGAGUGAACCAGUGAAUGGAAGAUCUCUCUCCCCCUCUCUCUGUAAUUCUCAUUUCAAGCCACAGCAGAGAGCUGGAUCGGAAGUGGAGCAGCUGGGACUCGAACUGGCGCCCAUCUGAGAUGCUGGCACAGGAGGUGGAGGCUUAGCCCACUAUGCCACAGCACUGGCCCCUAACGUUUACAAAUGAUGUGCCACUAAAUUCAACUUACCAACCUUCAUUGAGACUACUGCUGGGAGUGGGGUUCACAAAGGCCAGGGCUGUCACCUCCUCCAACGGCCGUUACCUCCGCAGCAGUGGAGCCCAGGGGUCUCCCGCUGGUGCUGCCUGCAGGAAUUCACUUUUCUGGCACAGGGAGAGAACUCUUCUUUCAUCUCCAGAAUUCACAACACCCCACCUCUUUCACUGGAUUAAAAGGUAACUUAAUUCUAAUGUCCCCUCUCUCUCCAUAAUCGAGUUAAAAUCGCAGCACUUUAUUACUGACUGGCAUUUCAUCUGUAACUUGUGAGCACAGGUAACUACAGGAUAGGUCUCUAGGGCACCAGCGAGGUGUGAUUCGUCCUUUCUCCCUCCUCUUCCCAGUGCUCCACCACUCCUAAGUGUCUGUUCCCUUCCUGAGUACAGACUGCAGAUCUUUAUCUUUAAAAAUAAAUUCUCCCAGUUAUUCAACAAAUGUGAGCAUUUAUCAUCAUGGUGACCCUCCAACCUUGGACAAAUUCAGGGAAUAUAUAAUAUAUAAAUUAUCUUUGUUAACAACUGCACCACUCUGUUCUUAAAGAAGGCCUCUUCCAGCCAUAGAGGCACUUCAAACACACCCUGCAACUGUACCCACUGAAACAGAGAGCUCUCCUUAACAGAGAAUUUAGAUUCUUCUGCUGAGUAUAUUAGAUAGGUAGCAAAUCUACCCUGAUGUCGCAUGGGGCUGUAUUCUCUGAUCAUGGUAACACGCUGGCUUUACCUGGCGGUGGGUACUGUGCCGUAACACACAGAGUGGAAAGAGGUGUUCACUUCAGACCCAGUGACAGUAUGGGGAUUAGGAAGGGGCAAGACAGUCACACUGUAAAGGGACCACUUGUGCCUAAGAGUAAUUUUUCAGGCACAGAAUUCUAUUAAGAAAAAGUUCUGCGUGGCCUUUGAUGUUCGAUGCCUGAUCCCAUGUGGGGUAGAUCACGCCACUGUGGCAUGAUUUCAUUGUCACUGAGAUCCAGUGGAGUCAGGUAAUGUAACAGAAAGGGAAAAAGUAUUCCACACCUGGAAGUGCUAAUCAAAUCAAGAGAAGUAAAUUUCAGGAGUGGUUAAGUGCCAACAGUCUUCUUCAAUUGUUUUUAUUACAGUAAGAGGAAUGUUACUCUUAAUGCAUAGAAUCAGAAGAAAAAAAUUUAUAUAAGCUUUUUAAAGAGGUCUUUUGACAAUUAUUAAUACAAAUGUGAAAUAGGACCCUUCAAACAAAUACCAAUUUCAGUCAUAGUUUACAUACAGCAAUAAUUUAUUCUGAAAUGUCCUUUUAAGUUUCUGUUGAGACACAAUUCAUGUCUCAUUAAUAAAAGAGCAGCCAUCUCACCUCAAAUACCAGAAUAUACAACAAGAUACAGCAUAGCAAAAAUUCUACCUACUUUCAGAUAAAAUCUAGUUCAGGUAAAAUAGUUUCAUUCAAUGUUUUACAGUUACACAGAUUUUUGUUGUUGUUUUGAGCACAAAAUAGUGUAAAUUGUUACACUGUAGCUAUCUAUGCACAUCAUGUGACCACAGAACUGUUAAUCAUUUCUUCUGAAAUUGAACCAUCAGUUUCAUUCAUGCAAUAAAGCAAAGCAGGCUGGGUAAACUUGUUCACCGGGAACCAUAUUUCUGUGAAUUUCAUAGCCACAUGAUUAGUUAUGACAUUAGAUGGAUUCACAAGGACUAAAACGUUUUGUUUUUUUUUUUU
Molecule: long non-coding RNA, 2914 nt
Organism: Lepus europaeus (European hare)
Lineage: Eukaryota; Metazoa; Chordata; Mammalia; Lagomorpha; Leporidae
Exons: 4
Source: RefSeq, a predicted model, not a curated record